AUUGAACGCUGGCGGCAUGCCUUACACAUGCAAGUCGAACGGUAACGGGUCCUUCGGGAUGCCGACGAGUGGCGAACGGGUGAGUAAUAUAUCGGAACGUGCCCAGUAGUGGGGGAUAACUGCUCGAAAGAGCAGCUAAUACCGCAUACGACCUGAGGGUGAAAGGGGGGGAUCGCAAGACCUCUCGCUAUUGGAGCGGCCGAUAUCAGAUUAGCUAGUUGGUGGGGUAAAGGCCUACCAAGGCAACGAUCUGUAGUUGGUCUGAGAGGACGACCAGCCACACGUGGACGGAGACACGGCCCUGACUCCUACGGGAGGCAGCAGUAGCGAAUGUGGGACAAUGGGCCCAAGCCUGAUCUAGCAAUGCCGCCUGCAGGAGGACGGCCUUCGGGUUGUAAACUGCUUUUGUCAGGGAAGAAGUCUUCUGGGCUAAUACCCCGGGAGGAUGACGGUACCUGAAGAAUAAGCACCGGCUAACUACGUGCCAGCAGCCGCCGCCG
RNAcentral lists this ribosomal RNA (500 nucleotides) under uncultured bacterium. RNAcentral's name for it is "partial 16S ribosomal RNA". It matches the Rfam family "Bacterial small subunit ribosomal RNA", at positions 30 to 523 of the family's 1533-position model. The record is from RNAcentral.